Molecule: ribosomal RNA, 440 nt
Filed under: uncultured bacterium
Lineage: Bacteria
Description: partial 16S ribosomal RNA
Rfam family: Bacterial small subunit ribosomal RNA
Source: RNAcentral
CCUACGGGGUGCAGCAGUGGGGAAUAUUGCACAAUGGGGGAAACCCUGAUGCAGCGACGCCGCGUGAGGGAAGAAGUAUUUCGGUACGUAAAGCUCGAUCAGCAGGGAAGAAAAGGACGGUACCUGACUAAGAAGCCCCGGCUAACUACGUGCCAGCAGCCGCGGUACUACGUAGGGGGCAAGCGUUAUCCGGAAUUACGGGGUGUAAAGGGAGCGUAGACGGCUAUGCAAGUCUGGAGUGAAAGGCGGGGGCCCAACCCCUGGACUGCUUUUGAAACUGUAUGGCUGGAGUGCAGGAGAGGUCAGUGGAAUUCCUAGUGUAGCGGUGAAAUGCGUAGAUAUUAGGAGGAACACCAGUGGCGAAGGCGGCUUACUGGACUGUAACUGACGUUGAGGCUCGAAAGCGUGGGGAGCAAACAGGAUUAGAUACCCCUGUAGUC